AGCAAACACCGAUUUGCACACUGUAAGGCAUGUUGAAAAGGGCUUGCAGAAGACGCCGACCGUGCCGUGAGCAAUCGGCUUUUCACCACUGGAUAUCUGUUGACAUUACCAUAAUGCAUUCCUUUGGAGCAGCUCCCAGGUAUAGUCAUCCCAUUGCUUUAUAUAAAGUCUCAUUUGGGGACAAACGUGAUUUGGCAGCAACAAACGUGUGUCGGGGUCAGAUUGGCACUGAAACCCUAAAAAGCAGAGGGAGCAGGUAGCUGGACCUUAGCGCAGCCAUACGUCUCUCCUCCCUCCAGUUGUGUGUGUGUGUGUGUGUUUAAAUUUUGUUUUCCUCUCCUGUGAAUAUCACCACCAUGUAAUAGCUGAUAUAGUGGAUCAGUGCUACUUUCUGCCCACUCAUGAUUAGAGAUGAAUGGAUCAGUCAGUUUUGGUUCUUCCAGUUUCCCAUGUCUCCAAAUUUGGUCUCCAUAUUAAAUAUAUGGAGGGAGGGAGGGAGGGAGGGAGGGAGGAAGGGAGCCUAUUGCUGCAGAAAUAUGGAGGAAGAAUAAAAUAUAAGAUUGAAAAAAUGAGACUAGGUGGGCCAUUGGCCUGAUCCAGCAGGCUCUUCUUAGGUUCUUAGUUUCCAGACCCCUAUCCUGAAUGAAAGAUCUCAUAAGAAUUGGACAAUGGACAGAGAUAGGCAUUUGGGGUCUGCUCCUUGGCUAGGAGCUUGCCAGUGAUCCUCUCCAGCUUCCUCUGCUGCUCUACAGAGGGGCCUUCAGAAUUCUCCUUGGUCAGAACUUUGCUUACAUUUGGCUGCUUUUAAGGAAGUGAGUGUAACAUGUAGUUGGGCUCUGGACUGGGUGUACAAAGUUAUGAAGCAAUGCACGCCAUGCUCGUUUUCUUUUAAUUCACCUGGCCAAGUUGCAAAAUAACCGUUCCUCUGGGCAAUCCUUUUACAGGGAACCAGAAAUAAUAAUUCAUACUCAUGACAAGAAAGAAAUAGCCACAAAGGAGCCACAAUUUCAAAUACAAUUGUAACAAGGCAGCUAUGGUGCCAUAAAUCAGGUCCCCAAAGAGGUGCUGUCAGGUUGUUCAUUAGAUUAGGUACAACCAUUUUAUUCUUCUUAAAGCAAGGGCAGAUUUAGUGUCUCCAAACUUUCCAAUUUUUAUUUCCAUCAAGGAGAAGCUUACCAGGGUAGCAGGUGGGAAUUUGGCCACUGCAUGUGAAUCACUCUGUCCGAGAAUCUGUUCUGUGUUUCCUAUGCUAUGUAGGGUAAUAAAAUGGCUUUACAGCCAACAUAUAACUUUUCCCAUAAUGUAUAUACUAUAAGGAAAGCACUUUCUCUUCCCCACCUGAAAAGUGAUCCUGUGAGAAUCAUUUUAAGAAUCUUACCAAGAUUUUUGUUGCUAACUGCAAAGAUUCACAAGCAAUCCCCCUACCAACCCAAGAAACAUUGAAAAACUUACAGAAGUUCGAAUUUGGUUUUUUUCAAAACAUGAGUAUUAAAAUCUGAAUUUGAGUUUCAAAUAUCCAGGCAUCUUCCAGCAGGAAAAAAAGUGGGGAUGGAUGUUCAGUCUAUAGGAGAAGGGCGAGGAGAGGGAUUCCAGGACCUCUCUGUUGGCUCAGUUUAGAGACCAGCUACUUCCCAUAUAAUGUUCCAUUUGGGCCACUUGCACCCAGUACUCCAUGAAUCUCAUCCUAGAAGAUGCAUUAUGUUGUAGAUCUUUCCCAUUCGAAAUGGGUCUCCUUUCUCCCUUCCUGCCCAGAGCUGCAGGAGUGAAGGAACAAAUUGCUCUUGCCAGAGGUCUGAACAGAUCAUUUGCAGCGGGCUUUUGAAAUUAGUCUGGGGACCUCAGGUUGCUUAUCUGUACUCUAGUAUAUAAUGAUAUUCUAUACCAGGGAUGGGGAACCAGGAGCCAGAUGCAUCCAUCUCUAGGACUCUUGAGACUCUCCUCAGGCCACACCCCUCCCCUGGGCCACCCUCCUUCACCAGCCCUACUUCGUACUUUACUUUCCCCUGUCUGAAAUGUCUCCCUGAACUCCAAUGAUGCCUCUUGGUUGCUGGGGUGAAGAUAGAGGUGCUCAUGUGUAGAAGCUCUCCUGCUGUCCAGAUGUAAACUUUACAUGCAUUGCUUUUGCCUCUGGCCCUGCCCGGAGAUUGCCCAGAAAGUAAUGUGGCCCUUGGUUCACCUAUCCCGCUUCUAGUAUAUCAUAAAAUUAGUUCAGUUAGUAGAUCAUGAGACUCUUAAUCUCAAGGUUGUGGGUUCAAGCCCUACAUUGUUUGCUGCACUGCAGGGGGUUAAACUAGAUGCCCCUUGUGGUCCCUUCCAAUUCUACGAUCUGUGAUGCACUAUAAUAUAUUUAAAGAGUAGCCACACUCUUGGAUUUCAAAACAGGGCAGGUUAUUGCUUGAGAACAUUAGUUUAGAGAAGAUGGAAUAGAGGCCUUAGCAGAAGAUCUUGGCCAGAGACCUUAGGUCUGCAAACAAACAGGGAUGUUGCAAAUGCACUGUGAUUUCUGUUUUGUGUAUGUAUGACAUGUUGGUGUGCUUAGAUUAUAAUACUGUGGUUAUGAUUUAAUAGAUAGAAUAUAGGGUGCGGCAGAAGGGGAGAAACAAAAACUCCAUGGAAAACAGGGUGGGAAGUCAACAACGAUAAGAAAAAAAGACAUAAUUGUAUUUUGAUUUCAUAUGCUAAAAAUGUUGACGUUUAAUAAAAUAUUUUUUAAAAAAUGUUAGUGUGUGUGGAUUUGUGAAGAACCAUAGAAUAAUAGAAUUGUAGAGUUGGAAGGGACCCAAAGCACCAUCUAGUCCAACCCCUUUCAGAAGACAAUUGUUUGAAAUACUUUGGAUAUGAAAUAUCCCCCUUUUACCUACACAGUUGGUCCUGUUGAUGCUUGUUUUUGUCUUUCUAAGAAGAACAAAAUCCCUCCAGUGAUGGCUUUGUACCAAAAUGUAACUACGUACCUGAAGACUUGAUCAAUGCAUCUGAAAAGUCAUCGUGGUAGAAUCCCACCUAGAGAGCAUCACUUCAGUGGCAGGCUGCCUUUUCUCCCACCUGAAAUAAUCAUCACCACCAUCAUUGUGAUGCAGAAAAAUAGCACCUAAGGGGGAUGCUGCUGCUGCAAACUUUCUCCUUGAGCUGCUAAUUGUCCCCAUUCAGAGAGGUUGUUUCUUUUACAAGCACAGGACUCCACCAAGCGAUUUCUUUGAACGUUUAGCUUGGCUGCCUGCUACAGCAGCAGCAAAUCUCUUACAUGUCAUGGGGAGUUUAUUGAAACGUGAAACCUUCCUUCGCCUUCUUCUCAGUCCAUGUGACAAGACUCUCCGGCAAAUGAUAUGGCGGAGUAGGGAUUGCAACGGCUUUUAAUUUCUGACAGCCUUGUCGUGACAAAAAAGAGCAGUUGCCAAAUGUGAACGUGUCACCCCAUCCUGAGAGUGACAUUGCAAAGUAGCAUAUUAGCUUUUUUAAAAAGAAAAAUUUGAAGCGAUAAUAUUCAAGGCCUUGGGAUUUCCUGGGGAUUGAUGAUUGGCUGGGGGAGUUGAUGGCCUGAAGCAGAGCUCCGGGCUGUUAAGCAAGAUGGUCAUUAAUUUCCCAGGAAAUGGUUUGGUCGGAGGACUUCAUUGCUAUUAUGGGAUAAUAGUUUUCAAAGACAUGAGUUUUUGGGUUGCUGUUUCCUCCAACUCCCAUCCUUAAUUUUGUUGGAAAAUAAGCAGUCUAUUAGGAAACCUUGAGACUUGACUACUGUAAUGCACUGUACCUGAGGCUGCCCUUGUACCUGGUCCAAAAGCUAUAAGAAGAAGAAGAAGAGUUUGGAUUUGAUAUCCCGCCUUUCACUCCCUUUAAGGAGUCUCAAAGCGGCUAACAUUCUCCUUUCCCUUCCUCCCCCACAACAAACACUCUGUGAGGUGAGUGGGGCUGAGAGACUUCAAAGAAGUGUGACUGGCCCAAGGUCACCCAGCAGCUGCAUGUGGAGGAGCAGAGACGCGAACCCAGUUCCCCAGCUUACGAGACUACCGCUCUUAACCACUACACCACACUGUAGUUUGUUGGCAACCACUGUAGGUUAUUGGCAAAAUGUUACUACGUUGUGGAAAGAGCUGCACUGGUUGCUGAUUUACUAAAAGGCCAGGUUCAAGGAUCUUUUGUUAAUUCAUAAUUCAGCAUUAAGGUGUGCCUGAUUCCUUAUGCUCCACCUCAGUCAUGGAGAUCUUCUGAUGGAGAACUUUUGGUUUCCCUGCACACACCACUGAUUUUUGGUUUACUGAAGACCAAGGAUGAGUGCGACUCAGAAAAGACCCACUGAAAGCAAUGGGCCUAAGGUAGUAACUUUUAUUUAUUCAAAUUCAUUCAUUUUGAUGGGUUUACUCUAAGCAGGACUUACGUUGGACGCAACCCCAAGCCUUUAGUGUGACAAGUCUAUGGAAGAAGGGGCGAAAUAGUUGAUUUCAUAUUUAUAAAUCAUGACAUAUACUCAUGCUGUUAUUUGUUACAUCAUUGCAUCAUUGUGGUGUUUUUUUUGAGCAAAUAACCUUCUUUUUGCCUAUCUUGAAAAAGUCAAUAAAUAUAUCCCUCCCUUCCCAAAUUAUAAUAAUCAGUACCACAAUUUGCAGAAACUCCUGGAUCUAGCUUUCCAGUAGAUGACCAGAUUGUGAGAGGCAUAAAUCCUCUAUCCCAGCUCAGACGGGCCUCAGCAAGCUCAACUGGAGCUAGCUCAACUGGAGGUGGGGAAAAAAAAUCCUGUAAAAGUGUCUUAAUUUUAAUGUACUUUUCCUAAAUGUGGGUACCAUCCAAACUUCAGAUGCUGCUCAGUAGGGCUUAAUGGACCAGUGGGGCCACUGCUGCAUCUGCAGCCUUGCUCAACACAUUGAUAGUAGUGGAAGGUGAGCAAAUAAAUCAUUGCAGCAGCCGGGAGGGAAUGCUGCAAUGGGGUCCAGCUCAAGCCCAAUGCCACCAGAACUACCUUUGAAGGUGACCCAGAAACUACAACUAAUCCAGAAUGCGGCAGCUAGACUGGUGUCUGGGAAUGGCCGCCGAGACCACAUAACACUGGUCCUGAAAGACCUACAUUGGCUCCCAGUACAUUUCCAGGCACAAUUCAAAGUGUUGGCACUGACCGUUAAAGCGCUAAACAGCCUCAGCACAGUAUACCUGAAGGAGCGUCUCCACCCCUAUCGUUCAGCUCCGAGGGCCUUCUAGCGGUUCCCUCAUUGCAAGAAGUGAGGUUACAGGGAACCAGGCAGAGGGCCUUCUCGGUAGUGGUGCCCGCCCUGUGGAAUGCCCUCCCAUCAGAUGUCAAGGAAAUAAACAACUCUCCAACUUUUAGAAGAGACCUGAAGACGGCCCUGUUUAGGGAAGUUUUUAAUGUUUAAUGUAUUUAUCAUGUUUCUAAUAUGCUAUUGGGAGCUGCCCAGAGUGGCUGGGGAAACUCAGCCAGAUGGGCGGGCUAUAACUAAUAAAUUAUCAUUAUCAUCCUGUUUCAGGGCAUUUUUGGUCACUGCCAGUGUUGGAGAUUCUGAUGAGACCACUUCAACUGUCCCACUUUGGGCAGGUGGAAGGGGGAGCAGGCACCACUCCUCAGGCGAAUGUGGGAAAGUGUGUGCAGACAGAUACCUCCACACAAUCCCGCCCCCAGCCCAGCAGAAAGGAGCUUUGGAUUCCACUCUGUCCCAGUCUGUAUUUCUGCAGCCAUGUUGCGAGAGUGCAAAAUUCAGUAUUUCUGGCAGGGAGAAAUCCAUAUCACAGUGACUUUCCUAUUCUUCCCCCAUCUUGCGUGAAGAACCCCUAGUGGACUGAAAGGGAAGAAAGAGAGAGAACAGGGCUUUCCAUCUUUCUAUAGCAGCUGUCAGAAGUGAUCACUGCGACAACCAGCCAGAGGCUCCUUUCGACACUGAGGUUUAUAUGUGCGCAGGAAGUGGGCCAGUGGCAUACCCUCCAUUAAUUACAGGAUCUGCUUGUGGGGAACAAAUUGGAGGAACUCUAUGCUAGAGCUGACACCGGAAAGAUAGAUAGAUAGAUAGAUGAUGAUAGAUAGAUGAUAGAUAGAUAGAUAGAUAGAUAGAUAGAUAGAUAGAUAGAUAGAUGAUAGAUAGAUAGAUAGAUAGAUAGAUAGAUAUAGAUAGAUAGAUGAUAGAUAGAUAGAUAGAUAGAUGAUAGAUGAUAGAUGAUAGAUGAUAGAUAGAUAGAUAGAUGAUAGAUAGAUAGAUAGAUAGGAGAGAGAGAGAGAGAGAGAGAGAGAGAGAGAGAGAGAAGCCACAAUAAUGAUGUCAAGUCAGCUGAUCUCUGAUCUCCUUUUUUCAAGUUCUGGACAUCUGACAAUGGCACGGAGGACUCCUGAAGUCAAACGUGACCUAAUUGAUUUUCCAGCAAAAGCAAGUGAAGCCAUACAACAAAGGAGAUGAAUGAUGGACAUGGGAUACAGCAAUUGCUUCAAUUACUCUGAUUUCAUAUCAGACCCACCCGGGAAGGAGAUGUGUUCUCAGCUCUUGCCCCUGUCAUAUCCACGAUGAAAUGGAUGCCGGAGGGAUGGCAGUGACAGGAAAUAAGGUGAAACAUGCCAGCAAAGGAGAAAUUUACUCAUUUGCCGGCUCCAUUUUGACCCUUCAGGGCUGUCAUUGCACAUCACCACAGAUGCAACUCACCUCAGAGAAGUCAGAUGCCCUAACUCAGAGGAGGGGUAGGAUAUCCAUCCACCACAACCGAGAGGUGAAUGGACAUGUACAUGUUUUGAGAAAAUCCUGAAUGCAGACCUGAAAUGGCUUAGCUAAUGUUUGGAUCCUUCUAGGCUGCACCCUUUCAGGAAUCAAUCGCGUGUAGGAAUGUAUCAUGUCAUGAGAAAAGGCUUUUGGCAAGACUGCAGCAUGAGAGAGGACAGUAAUAAGGGCAGUGGGCUUCUUUUUAUCGGGCAUAAAUGUAUAUGUGUAGUUAGAAUUCCCACCUAAACUGGUGAGGCUCCACUAUUAUAUCCACUUUCUGUUUUAUGCUAGGUGAGACAGUAAUAGUGGAGCCUCACCAGCAGUUUAAGUGGGAAUCCUAUGUGCAAAUCUUGCAUCUCAGCAGUACAACACAUGUUUUGGAUGCAGAAGGUCCAAGAGUCCUUCUCCAGAUCAUCUUCCACAGAAGACGUCUGCCUAAAUCCUUGGAGAGCCACUGUCAGUCUGUGUAGACAAUGCUGGGUGUCUCCAAAAAUUUUUACACAUCACUUGGGAAGACAGGUGGACUAAUGCCAGUGUACUGGAAGAAGCAAAGAUCACCAGUGUCGAAGCAAUGAUACUUCAACAUCAACUUAGUUGGACUGGUCAUGUUGUGCAGAUGCCUGAUGUUCAUCUUCCAAAGCAACUGCUCUAUUCCAAACUUAAAAAUGGAAAGCGUAAUGCUGGUGGUCAACAAAAGAGGUUUAAAUACCCUUUUAAGCAAAUCUUUAAAAAUGUAGUAUAAACACCGACAACACUGGCCUGUGAGCAAUCCAAUUGGAGAACAGCCUUUACCAAAGGUGUUGUGGGCUUUGAAGACCCUCGAACUCAGGACGAAAGAGAGAAACGUGAGGAAAGUACACUUGGCGAACCCUCACCAUGAUCAACUCCCGCCUGGAAACCUAUGUCCCCACUGUGGAAGGAUGUGUGGAUCCAGAAUUGGCCUCCAGAGUCACUUACAGACUCGCUGUUAAGACCGUGUUCAUGGAAGACAAUCUUAUUCAGCCGCCAAAGAAAAGAAGAGGAAGAAGGACUUGGCAUAUGACAGUGUCUAAUACCUGCUUUAUGUUUUAUGCUAAGUGAGAGAGUAAUAGUGGAGCUUCACCACCAGUUAAAGUCACUGUCAUGGGACUAGCACACCCCAGCUGAGAACUUUCGGAAGCAUUGUUUUCACUAGCUGCUACGUAGUGUUCCUUUCAACUGGAUAGUCCCAUGCAGGGGUAAUGACUCCUCUGGGCUGAACCCCCCUUUGAGCCCUCCCAAUAUUUGUUACUGGGCAGAGCACCCACAAUGAUCAUCUGGGCAUCACUUUUGAUGUCAUGAUGUCGUAUGGGAUGCCUGGAUACGACACUAUAGCGCACAAUACCAGGAAUACAGCAGCUCCUCCUCCUCCUUCUGCGGCAUCAUUUGGAUUUGCUGGUGACACAUGGGGGGGGGGGGAGAAAAGGCAAGAUCUUGUAUGAAACUGCACUGGGAAGCUGGUUUGUGUGAGAAUGACGAUCCAAAAGCUCAAUCUGAUCUUCCAAACAGUUUCUUGUAUUGUGUCACCGAAGGCUGAGGCUUUUAAAAGGGGACACUUCUGUGUUGACAUCAUGGCAGCCUUUUCUUCUGAGUGCAAGAAGCCUUAGAGGAAGAAGGAAAGAGCCACUUUCACAGCGGCCUUCAUUAUGUGCCUCUCUCUUUGUGACUGGUAAUGGCUUUGACAUUUGCAGACUUCGCUUCGAAACCAUGCCUGGCAGGCAGCAACAGCAGCAGCUCAGGAAGAAAAUAAAUAAAUAAAUGCCAAGAUGGCCUCUUCAUGAUGGCUUAAAGAGACAGCAAAACCUCAUUGUUUUCACCUGCUUCCAGAAUGACCACUUCUCUUGGCUGGGGAUCACAAGAAAGCCUGUCUUGCUCUGAUAAAACCCUCUGGAGAAGAAACCGUCAACAGCUCCAGUGGUCGACUGCAUAAAAGGAGCAGCUGUUGAAGAUCAUAAGGAGAACCCCUAAGAAAGGGUGAGGUUUCACUAGACUAGAUCUAGGACCCAUCUAGUCCUGGGUUGGAAGGUCUUUUCCAGAGCGAGGGCCACAUUCCCUUCUGGAAAACAUUCCAAGGGCCACAUGCCAGAAAUGGGCAGGGCCACAGGUAAAUGUGUGUGGAACAAUACAUGCAAAUUUUGCCUUUGUAGAGUAGGCUAGUUUCUGCAAACCCCACCACAGCCCUCUCUGUCUACCAUCUGGACAACCAAGUGGCACUAUGAGAGUCAAAAGACACAUUCCAGCCAGGCAAAAACACUCAGAGAGGGUAUCAGGAGGGUUGUGGCCUGGGGGAUGUGUGCCACUGUUGAGGGAUUGUAUCCUUGGAAGAGUGCUGAGGGCCAAAUAGAGAAGCUUGAAGGGCUACAUGUGGUCUACUGGACCUGAGGUUCCCCACCUCUGGUCUAUUGUUGACUUGUGGAAGUCAGCUAGUCAGCUGGAAGUCACCACACCUCAGCCAGUGUGAUGCUUCAGCAGAGUAUGCAGUGCCCCAGCAGAGUCUUCAGAGAUUUCCUGCUCCCGGCAGAACAGCUUCUUCCAGAGUCCAUGCAGCAGCGCAGCUAGCUGCUCCGGCACCCGGAGCGGCGGGGGUGGGGCGAGCCACCCACCGGGGGUUGGGGCGAUUUGCCCACAAGGGUGCUGUGGCGAUCUGUCCACAGAGUCCACCUGGCAGACACAAGCCCCACGCUGCUGUUUUGGGCAGUGUGGGGCCCCAAGCCACCGCAUUACUCCUAGGAGAGACAUGUGGUUCAGGCGCGCUGCAGGCCAGGCCCCGUGGUAAGUGCUGCCCCCUGCGGUGUGCCAUUUUGUCACACCCUCAGGGAUGAUACCUGGGGCGAACCACACACCCCCACACCCCACUUCCUAUGCCCCUGAGUCCAUAGGAAUGGUAAAUCUGGGUUAAACAAUGGUGGCGGUGAGAUGGCAUUUUGAUGAGGAUGACAUAAUGUUACUUGAGAGGCCACCUUAUCGCCUGCACACCCAUUAGGUCGCUGUGGUCUGCAAGGCAGUUUCUCCAUCAAGUUCCAAGGAUCUCAUAAGCCUGAGCCAUAGUAACUUAAGGCAGGGCUUUCGCUGUGGCUGCUCCUGUUCUGUGGAACAGCAUUCCUAUCAAUAUAUGACAGCUGUCCACUAUUUGCACUUUCCAGAAACAAUUUAAUAAAUUUAUGUUGCUAAGGCUUUCCCAGCUGCAUGAAUAGGCCUCUGCCGUGGGUGUCUGUAUUAUUAUUUUAAUCACUUGCUGUCAUUCUCUGUGUUAAUAACAUAUGAAGAGUGUGCUGGAUCAGGCCAAUGGCCCAUCUAGUCCAGCAUCCUCACAGUGGCCAGCCAGAUGCUUGUGGGGAAACUCACAAGCAGGACCCGACCACAUGAGCACUGGUAUUUAGAAGGUUGCUGCCUUCAAGUGUAGAGACAGAGCAGAGUUUUAAAGACUAUUUUCCCCCAGUUGCUUUUAUUGUGUUCUGCACCUCUUGUUGAACUAUGUGUGUGGAAGUUGAUAAAUAAUGUGUAUGCCGGGGGAAAGAAACUUGAAUGGAUGAGCACCUCCAAGUCCACAAUAGGCUUCCAUGUGGAAGCUGUUAGGUUUCUGUUUGUGCCACUGUGCAGUUUUUGGAGUCACAAGACUCUGUAUACAUUCCAGACUGUUGGAAGUCUCACGGGAGACGGAAGUUGUUGCUACUGGUUUCCUGUUUCUUUGUGCCAGUUGGUUCUCUGACUUCACAGAGAGCAGAUGUAUAGUCCUGAGUAGUUAGAAAUAAACGUAGCAAUGUAGCUCAUAUAUUUCUCUUUCUUCUGCUGCUGUAUGUAUGCUCUGCGUAAUGGGAACAUGUCUGGAGCCUCAUCAAAGGCUUAGGUUGUUAAUCACCUUCAGAGGAGAUUCCAAAGGAUCAACCAGAGGAGCAGCUCGGUCGAACGGAGUUCCGACAGAAGCAGGGGCGUCUUGCCCAUAGAGGCAAGUGGUGCAGGGCGCCAGGGCCCCAAGUUCUGGAGGGCGCCAGGGAAGAGGUGGAGGCUGGACGUGGUGCCUCCCAGCAUCAGCUCGCUGCCCUCGCCCGCCUCCGCCACGCCUGGAGCCUCUGCCUGCCAUGGCCACUGCAGCAUGGGUGCCAGGGAAGAGGCAGAGGCUGGGUGAAGCACGGCACAGCGCCUCCCGGCAUUAUCUCGCCCCUCUCACCCGCCUCGCUGAAGCAGCACCGCACCCGGACCCUCCGCUCCAGCCACUGUCUGCCUCCUCCAGCCCUGCAAAGCUGCCGGCAACUCCAUAAAAAGGUCGGCAACUCUGGGAAAUGGGAGGCGGGGCGGGUGGCACUGGAGGGAUCUUUGCACCACGGCGCCGGAUAUACUUAAGACGCCCCUGUGUGGAAGAACCCUCAGCCCCAUCAAAUUUGGAUCUAGGGGAGUGCUGAUGCUGGGCGCAGAUCUUCUGGGGUGCUGCAGCAGACGCUGCAACUAUGACAUCCAAUUGAAGGUGAGAAGCGGAGGGGGGCUUAUUUUGGUGUUGCUGAACCUUUGAGGUGCCAGGGUCUACCCCUCACCCCAUAUUUCUCUCCAGUGCCUCAUGCUUUGCCCUGGAAGAGUCUGGGCAUCAGGAGGGCUCUUAGCUCUGUCCUGUUUCAAAGUUGACAACACAACAGCAGUGGAUAUAGGAGGGUGUGUGUGUGAGAGAGACAUCUCAGUAUUGGAUUGUGGCUGAUGUGUGUGCACUGCACAACCUCUAAGAUUAAUAGCUCAGAGUCAGGAAAGGAAGCAUCUCAGACUGACAGCCCCAUCUUGACCUGAUGGAUGAGAUGUCCAGCUUAGCUCGGUUAUAAAGCCAACAGCUUUGCUGGGCCAUGGCUCUUUCGGAGAUAGCAAAUCCUACCCCCUCCCCAUUUGUAACAUACCUUAUACUGAACACCAACACAAAUUGAGUAUUGACUUCACUGGGGGAGGAGGGAUGCAUCUUCUUCUUCUUUUAUUGCCUUCCUAACAGCUUUUGAGUCUGUUCUUCUUGGUUAAGGUAUCUUUCCAUUGGGCGUCUUCUGAUUAUCCAGGCAAUUGGUGCAAUGCCUAGGCGGCAAUUUUUGCAAAGCCAGAUUGAUCCACCUAUAUACAAUGCGGCAGGAAAUCAAAGCAUCCUGAUUUCAUGGCUCUUGAUUGAGGCACUUGGGGGCUGGAGAGGGAGCGUGACAUUUGCUCUCAUCUUUUGGCUAUUAUUAGACCUCUUUGUCAUUUCAGGCAAGCCAACAUUCUCAGCAGGAUUAAGCAACGUUCAGUAAUACUGGGCGUCUGAGAUGAAAGGUGAUGGGGAAAAAACAAUGCUGUUCAGCUAGAUCUGUUUGAUUCUGUUGUUUUCUGAUGUGCCAUGAAUAGUGCUAGCUGUGAGUUGUCAAAACUACCUGUUUCAGGAAUGAAUCUGCCCAGUUCAUAAUGCUCAGGAACAAAACAAAUCAAACACUGCCCUGUAUAAUUCUUCUGCAUCUCAGGAUGGAAAACGGAGUAUCCCUGCUAGCCAUCUUAUACUCCUGUGUGUGUUUAUGGGCCAGGAAAACUGGCCACUCCCUGUUGUCUUGAAGUCUCAACGUAAAUUUCUCAUUUAUUGACUAGUUUUCAUUGAGUGCAGCUAUCCUAUCCCCUCCCAGUCUCCUCUUUUCCAGGCUAAACAUACACAGCUCCUUCAACCAUUCCUCAUAAGGCUUGGCUUCUAGACCCUUGAUCAUCUUAGCUGCCUUCCUCUGCACAUGUUCCAGCUUGUCAACACCCUUCCUAAAUUGUGAUCUGGAUCCUUCUGCCUGUCCAUUUAGGACCUGUAGUUUCCUUCUCUGUCUCUCCUGCUUCUGUCUUUCUUACUGAUUUCCUUCAUCUGUCUUUCCUGCUAUCACUGUCAGCCUUGAAGUUUGCUUUGCUGCCAUCCAUUCCCAUCUAUCACCAGGACUCCCCUUUCCCUCUCCCUCUCCUCCAGCCCUGUUAUUUCUUCCCUCCUCUUCUUCCUUCUUCUUGAAAUUUAAUGGCUUAGCAAAAACAUCUCCUUUUUUCAUUCCCACCUGCCAGCUUCUCCCAUUCUCCUUAUCAGCUUCUGGAUUGGCCCAUGGUCACUGCAUAUCUGCUACUGACACCUUAGGUUGACAUCUACCAAGUUUCAGACUACAUGCCCCACCAAUCACAUCCAGCACAGCUGUUGCAGUCCAAAACAUCUGGAGGGCACCAGGUUGGCAAAGGCUGCCAUAGGUAGGCACCGGGCCCCACAGUACCCCACAGUAGCUGUUUGUUGGCACCACCACUGCCAGGAGGAGAGAACACUCCAGUGCUGACCCCUAACAUGUAAAUGUCUCUUUCAGCAAAGCUACAGUUUCUUUCCCAAUACUGCAGAUCAAAUAUUUGUUCUUUGCUUCAUUAGAAUUUAUAUGGUUUGUUUUGCUUUUAAAUCUUACUAUCCAAAUGUAGUGGAUUUAUUGAGCCUGCCAACCUUAUGAAAAUAGUUCUGAUCUGAGCCAACAUGGGCUUUUUUUUUGCAUCUUCAAUGGUUGCAAUAUGGCAAUAAAGGUGCAAUCCUAUGCACACUUUCCUUAGAGUAAAGCCCAUUGAAUUGUGAGGUUUACUUCAUCAGAUUAAGAAUAUAUGAAGCUGUCUUAUUCUGAGCCAGACCAUUGGUAUGUCUAGUUCAGUAUUGUCUAUAUAGAUUGAUAGCACUCUCUAGUGUUUCAAACAGGGAAUUAGACAGGGACGUAAGUGGUGCUGUGGUCUAAACCACUGAGCCUCUUGGGCUUGCCAAUCAGAAGGUUGACGGUUCAAAUGGGUACCACUGAGGCAGGAAGGUAAACAGCAUUUCUGUGCGCUCUGGCACUCAUCACGGUGUCCCAUUGUGUCAGAAGUGAUUUAGUCAUGCUGGCCACAUGACCCGGAAAGCUGUCUGUGGACAAACGGCAGCUCCCUUGGCCUGAAAGUGAGAUGAGCGCCACAACCCCAUAGUUACCUUUGACUGGACUUAACCGUCCAGAGGUCCUCUACCUUUACCUGCCCUACCUGGAGAUGCUGGGGAUUGAACCUGGGAGCUUGUGAUGCAGAAGCUCUGCCAGGGAGCUUGUCAGGCUUCAGGAAAUUGGCUCCCCCCCCCUUUGGCCAUAGAUAAGCAGAACAAAGAAAAUGGGUCUUCUUCCCAGUUAGAAACUUUAAUGAUCACAGCGAGAGAACAAAGAAUCAAUUUCCUAGGAAUGAAGGUGCUCCCAAUUAAGGGUUCCACCCACUUCCUUCCUAGUCAGCCAUGUCACUACAGCAUCCUGUAACCUGAGCUUUCUGUGCUCUUAUCUGCUUUUCUUGACCUUGGGCUAUCCAGCGACUGUGAGUCUGUUAACUCUCUCCCAGUUUUUCUUCUUCAUCCAGUAUUUCCCAGCUUUUGUCUUUUGAACUAUGUUCCUCUACAAACCACUGUUCCAAAUACUGUCCUCCUGCUCCUGGGAAGAUUCAGGAUCAGGACCAUUCUUCCUCAAUGCUGCCCUCCUCAGCACGGUCCCUGGCAGAGCUAGAGAUAUUCCCCUGCAUCCUUUGGGUCUCCUUGGGAACAGAAUGUGAGACUAGAUAACAUAUUUUCUCUGAUCCAGCAGGGCUCUUCUUAUGUUCUGAUUGAAAUGUAAAGCUCUGUAAACCACUUCAUACUGCUUGUGGAAACUCAUAUGGUUAAGUGUUUCUCCAUGCAAAAAUUCCUUGCACAUGGAAAACUAGGAGGUCAAGGAGCAGUGUAGACUGCGUCCAGGCUAUCUAAAAUGACCUCUGAGGAAACAUACAUAGAAUUGUGUGGUAAGGUUGCAGAUGAAUCUAGCACAGGGUGCCUGUCAGUGAUCUAAGACUGAGGGAUCAGUCCUUCAGCACAAAAAACAUUGUCUUCAAAGGAGGUGCUUGAUAAUCCUCCUCGCCUGGCUUGCAGCAAAGCUAAAGAAUUAUUAAGCCCCUGCUGGGCCAUCAUAUUUGGUUUGUGUUGCUGCAAGGAAAAAGUAGGUAUAAAAGGAGAAUUCCCUGGAUCCCAAGAUCCAGGUUUGGGGCAUCCAGGUUCUUGUGAGAGAACCUCUGCAGAGAUUUAAAAUCACAAAAUAUGCAGCAAAUUAAAGCAUAGAAAUAUAGGCUGAUAGACUGUUAAAAUAUGCCCUUGUGAGCUGCAGACGUUUCCCUCUUCCCGUAACAUAGAAAAAGACCACACAUUUGACAAGCUAAAAAUGGUUUACUUACAAACUCUUCAAAGAUCAGGUUCAUGUGCUUUUACUUACAUCAAUCAGAAAGGUUGCACAGGCAGUAAAAGCUGGCUUAGUUACAGUAGUGAAAUUUCCUAAAUUAUUGGUAUAGGAACUCAAAAGUGGCUUGCGAGAGCCAUGUGGCUUUGCCUCUUCACAUGCUGAACUUCUCAGGAAGAUUGAAAGGAAACGAAGCCUUGAUUACCUAGUCUCUCCCAAUGUGAACUAAGUCUGGCAGGACAGCUUACUCUAUGGUCUUAACCCCUUCAUGCAUUAAUUAGAUUUAAGCAUACUGGUUAUAUGAGGCUGUUUAUCCCACAGUUUGAUGAGUCACAAGUUGUUUGGAUUCGCAUUAGAUCAACUUUUAGGUGAAUUUUAAGAACGUUUUAAGAUCAAAGACAUAUUUUAAAUUGUACUGCUGCAUAUCACCUUUAACUCCGCAUAUAUUAGGCCUUUAUGCUCUCUUCCACGUUUUGCAUUCCCAGCUCUGAUGAAGCAUCAUAAUUAUUUUCCUUUCGUUCUGUCAGAUCCACCGGGAGUGUUUUCGUAUGGCAGAUUUUGCUCUUUAGAUAUAAUAUCCUUUCUUGUUUUACAAUUCCCCUGUAGCUUUAUUCUGUGACUUUCCUUGGACCAUGCAAGAGCUGCUGAAAUUAUGGUCUCUUAUGCAGAGGCAUUCCAGAGGCUUUGCAUUAACUUAUCUGUGUUCAAAGAAGACAUGUCCUAGCAAUUGCAGGUUUGUUGCAUAUUAGGGUCCUCCAUCAAAGGGUUGCAUUUUCAUUCAUUUAUUCAGCGAGUGAAGUCCCGCUGCCUUUAGCCCAUCAUAUGCUUUCCUGACAGAGGUACAUUAACAACUCAUGUCUCUAGGCUCCACGUGACUACAUCCUGCUUCCUUGAUCCUCAUCCUUACACCCCAAGCCUCCACAGCCCUCACACCUGGAUUCACCACGGCACUUCUUGCAUCCUUAAAUGUGAGUCCCCAUCCAAACUCACCUCCUAUUUUUCUCACCAAAACUAUGGAUUUGUAACAUUUCAUAUCUGACCUUUGUUCCUUGGCAGCAGGCACACCAACUCCUAGGGGUGAAGGGGCCUUUGGACCCCUCAAUAAUCUAUGCCCCCAUAAGUGGAUCAUACAGACCUUUAAAUCAGGGAUAGAGAACCAGUGACCCUCCAAAUGUGGUUGGACUCCAGAUCCCAUCAUCUUCAUCCACCAUGGCCAAUGGUCAGCAAUGAUGGGAGAUGUAGUCCAGAAACAUAUGAAAGCCACGGGUUCCCCAUCCUGAAAUUCAAAUGAGAGUGAUGGAGAAGAACUUUGUGCAUUUUAAUUUUUAAAUAGAGCCUCUUUAGAUUUUUGUUGUGGUUACUUGCCACAUUUUCAGUAAUUUUUUUAAAAAUAAAAUCAUUCUAUCACUGGAUGGCAGUAGAGCUAUAAUACAAAUUUAUAGACACACAGAUGCUGCAGAGAUGCAUCAGAGGCCAUAUUUAUGUUUCUCUGUAUAUUUCUCUGCAGUUCCAGUUUGUAUUAUAAGCUUUAAGAAGUGUCAAGCAUAGGAAGGCCCUGCAUUUCCAGAUGGGAUUAAUGCUGAAUAUAUUUUAUUUGCCCAGACACCAUAAAUAAUGGGAGGUGAGGUCUAAAAUUCCUCAAAAAAAUUUUUUUGGGGAUAUAGAUGGCUCCAAACUUGGCAGAGUAUUUUUUAAAAAUGUAACUUUAUUGCUAUGUUUUAAAACUUACUUUGCACGACAGUUCCUUUCCAGCUGUAAUGUUACGGUAUCAAGCUCCUAUUGCAGAGAUGGAUAACCUAAGUGCAGGGAAUGGAUGACCGCCCUUCCCUUCCUAUGCCUCUCAAUAUUAUCUUUGUGGCUCCCUGAAGGUGAGACACUCUCCUGAACCAUGCCCCUCCCCUCCCCUGCUCUGCACCCUUCCUUGUGUGUUUUUGCCUUCCUGGCAUGUGUCCUUGAGCUCAGUGGGUAGAGCAGGUUCUGUCCCCAGCAUCUCCAGCUCGAGAAGAACUGCUACCAGCCAGUGUAGGUCAGCCUUUCUCAAACUUUGGUCUCUUGAUGUACUUGGACUACAACUCCCAUCAUCCUUAGCUACCAGGAUCAGAGAUUAUUGGAGUUGUAGUCCAACAACUUCUGGGGAACCAAGUUUGAGAAAGGCUACUGAGCUAAGUAUAAGGCGUCUUCCUAUGUUUCUGUGUUUCCAGAUCAAGUGCCAGAGACAGGAACAUAGUCAAAGAUGGCAAAGCAAGGCAUCAUUUGCUGUUGUUGUAUCAGAUAAGUCCAUGCAACACAACUUAGAGCAGGGGUUAUAUCUAGCCAGCCAGGCUCCUAUUGGUACCUCAAGCCACAUGAUCCAGACUGAAUUGAAGAGUUCUGGAGCUUCCAUCAUCCCUGAUCAUUGGCCAUGAAGGUCGGGGCUGAUGGGAGUUGGAGUCCAGUAUCUGGAGUUCCCCAUCUCUGGUAGCAACUCUACAUGUAUUCAGACUGUUCAUGUAGUCUAGCCUGUAGCUCUUCAGACGCUUCAUGGUGCUGAUAAUACCAGGGGUGCAGGUGUUAAAUGGAGAUACUGGGUUGAAUUUUAGACUUUCUACAUGCAAGGUGCUUUACCUCUGAAAUAUUACCCUGAUUGUAUGCCUGUCAUCAUGCUACACAACCAAUAAGAUGUAGCUGUAAGCGGCCAUCACUUAAGACAAGUGACGGCAUUGGACAGUGAGGGCAAAUGAAACUUGCAGGCCAAUACUUUUGCAAAGGAUGGCGAAAAGUGGUUGAAAAUGUUCACAAAAAACCUGUGAGCCAUUUCAGCUCAGUCUUUAUCCCCACUGUUGCUAUGAUUGCCUGUUUUAUUCUGCUGUAUGCUGAAGUCUCAGGACAGUUUCCAAUGCAGUGUUUAAUCUGCGACAGCUCAUUUAAACAUGCAAGGCCAUCACCUGUUGCCUGGCAAAGUCGCUGCUUUUUGAAUAGUUAAGGGAAGAAGCCAGAUUUGCAAGGGACUACAAGAAUGCUGUGAUCUGCUUCUGCUUCCUCAGCAAUUAGGCCAAUUUGCGGAUUGCAGAUUGAGACCAACACAGCAGGCUUAUGGAGGCAUUUCAGAUGUUUGCUGGAAGGAGUUCACAGGGAAGGAACACUGUCAAAGUAACCGCCAAAGGCAACCAGAACCAACAAGUAUGACAACAGAACAAUCGCCUGCCCCCAGAAUAACUUUGUUUCCCUCCCCAUCUCAAAUCAGUGUCUGAUUAUGCCUGAACUGCAGCCAAAGUCUCUCCCUCUCCCUCUCUGCUGGCACAUUAGUCAGAGCUUUGACAAAGAGUAAAAAAAAAGAUGAGAAAAGGGGAAUAAGACAAAAUAACUUUCACAGCAGCAGCUCCUACAAGAACACUGAGAAUAUUCAUUGCCAAACAGGUACCCUAAAUAACGAGACAAUAAGGCAGAAAAGGGACAGUUCCACCGCAAGCGAUGGAAGAAGGAGACAAAAUUGUCUUUCUUGCUUGUCUUCCCUGCUGGCUUUCAUUCAAUUGACUGGCCGGUUCCUUUGGUUUACAGCUUUGUUUGCACUAUGUCUGUUACUUACUGAUGCUUGCCUUGCAUGCAUUGGUGCUUUUCCCUGGUUGGCUAUAUAGUAAUAAUAAUAAUUUAUUAUUUAUACCCCACCCAUCUGGCUGGGUUUCUCCAGCCAUUCUGGGUGGCUUCCAACAGAAUAUUAAAAUACAAUAACCUGCUAAACAUUAAAAGCUUCCCUAAACAGGGCUGCCUUCAGAUGUCUCCUAAAAGUCUGGUAGUUGUUUUUCUCUUUGGCAUCUGGUGGGAGGGUGUUCCACAGGGCUGGUGCCACUACCGAGAAGGCCCUCUGCCUGGUUCCCUGUAACUUGGCUUCUCUCAGCGAGGGAACCGCCAGAAGGCCCUCGGCACUGGACCUCAGUGUCCAGGUAUAACGAUGGGGGUGGAGACGCUCCUUCAGGUAUGUUGGACCGAGGCCGUUUAGGGCUUUAAAGGUCAGCACCAACACUUUGAAUUGUGUUCAGAAACAUACUGGGACCCAGUGUAGGUCUUUCAAGACCGGUGUUAUAUGGUCUUGGCGGCUGUCCCAAUCACCAGUCUAGCUGCCGCAUUCUGGAUUAGUUGUAGUUUCCGGGUCACCUUCAAAGGUAGCCCCACACAGAGCGCAUUGCAGUAGUCCAAGCGAGAGAUAACUAGAGCAUGCACCACUCUGGUGAGACAGUCCACGGGCAGGUAGGGUCUCAGCCUGGCUACCUAUGCCACUGCUCCCCUGAGCUUAAAUACAUGACCUUUCACACACCCUUUCAAACACAGAAAUUAUGAGAGGACCCCAAACUUCGCAGAAAGAGAAAGAAAGAGAAUGAGAAAGAGAGGACCUGAAGUACAGGACAAAAUGUUUAUCAAUACAGGAUGCAGCAUUUUACAAUGAAACAUGGGACAACCCUGUAUUAUACAGCACAGGUGACAACCCUACUAAUCCACAGGUUCCCUGUCCCUGUUUCAAGGCAUUUCACUUGGAGGUGGAUUGGGGGGGCGGGGAGAGGAUGUCCUUCCAAAGCAAGCCUAGCCAGUGGAAAUGUAUGGUUGAGCUCCUCCACAGGUUUUGAUGUUGGCACUGAAAAGUGGCUUGGAUGAAGCCAUGGACUUGCAUUAGCAAUGACAGAAGGCUCGCUUAAGUGCCGCAGUGACUAAGGGCACGUUGCUUGAUCAUAAAGCAGGGUUUGAACAUUUAAAGGUUUUGUUUUUUGUUUUUUUUAAAAGUCUUUUGCCACUUGCGGCCUCUCCAGCUGCUCUUGCAAUAAAGCAGAGGUCAACGCAGGCCCCUUCUGCUUAUAAAACAUCUGCUAAGUUGAAGCAGGUUAACGACAAAGUGCAGAGCUGUCUGUUUCAAGCGGGCAACUUAAUGCAUACUGGAGAAUUGCCUUCAUUGCCCUUGAUUGCGAAGGCAAAAGAGCUGGCGAAGCUGGCUCAAAGCGCCUUCUACGUUCAUUUCUGCUUUGCAGAGCAGACACCUCUAUUUCUCUUUCUGAAGGAUGCAUCAAAAUAGCCCACCAAGUUUUGCCCCUCUGUUAGGAGGCAGAGGAAUGGGGUGAUAUCAGCAGUUUGGAGAACUGUCCUGAAAUGUUUCUGGAUAGCUUAUCUUUACCUUGUCACUUUAAAGAAACAGACUCUCCAAGUGUCCCUAUUUUCCAGGGAUGUCCCUGAUUUAGAGAAGCCAUCCUGGUUUCUGAUUUGAUCCCAGAAUGUCCUGCUUUUCCUUAGGAUGUCCCAAUUUUCAUUGUAUAAAAGUUGGAGGAUAUGGAGUCAUCUGUCCCCAUAGCCGUCUGAAGGCAAUCCUGUAUAGGGAAGUUAUUUUUUUUAAUGUUUAAUGCUUUAUUAUGUUUUUAUAUAUGUUGGAAGCCUCUCAGAGUGGCUGGGGCAACCCAGUAAGAUGUUUGGGGUAUAUAUAGUAAAAUUAACAUUAUGGAAUAGUGCAUCCCCAUUUUCAUCAUAGAAAUGUUGGAGGGCAUGGAAAAACUCUCUGUCUCCCAUUCACCCCCUCUCUCCAUUCACUCUAUGAUCACACUUUAAACAGUCCUCUAAAGAAUUCUGGGAGCUGUAGUUUUUUAAGGGUGCUGAGAGUUGUUAUGAAAUCCCGGUUUCCCUCUCAGAGAUACAAUUUCCAGAGUGGUUUAACAGUCAAACCCUUUUCAAAAGCAACUCUGGGAAUUGUACCUCUGGGAAAUGAAGGGAGAUUUCGUAACAACUCUCUGCAUCUUUAGCAAACCACACCUCCUGGAAUGUUUUGGGGGAAGCCAAGAAUGUUUAAAGUGUGAUCAUAGUGCUUUUUAUGUAUGUUGUGAAUGUGGCCUAAUUCAGUCUCUCCCUCUCCUCCUCCCCUCCCUCCCUCAGUGGGAGAGAAAGCUCAUUGGAAUAGCCAACUACUGGCCAGCGUCCUCCAUUAUUUUUCUCCCAGAAGGCACCAGUGUUGGUACAUCUUGGAUCAAGUUAUCUCAUCCAGGAAUGAUAAAGCUAGAUGUGUUCAGCUGAUUUAUGGUAUCCAGUCCUAAAUAUCAGAUAAUGUCUCCUAGUGCUUUCAUGUAGAUGUUAGAUAGGCCAAAGAAGGAUAAGCUGGAACCCUGCAGAAUCCCAUGAGUAAACUGUGAGAGAGCUGAGCACGACCAGUCCCAUUCCAGCCAAUGGACAAGGGACAAAGGCAGCAGGAAAAGAGACCAUAUCCCACAAGUGUCUCAGAAAAACUGGGACAUCCCGUUUAUUAUCAUAAGAGAGUGGUGGCCAUUUUGGUUGCUGUGGUCUCACAUGAUUUCGUAGCAUGAUUUCUCCCUGAUGAAAGCACUUCGGGGGCUGCAAUAUCGUGUGGUGCCCCAAAACACAUGUUUUGGGUUGCAGUACCCAAAAAGUGUUCUUUUUGGGGGGCAGGGAAACCAUGUUGUGAAAUCCCACACAGUUACAGAAACUCAAAUGGCUGCCAUGCUCUUACGAUAAACGGAAAGAUGGGAUCCGGGAAGAUGACGUCCUGGAUUUUGGCUUCAAAGUGUUGGAGGGUGUGAGAGACAGGACCACUGAAUGAUAUCAAGUUGCUCUGCCCACUAAAUGAUGCAGGCAUGCUCCUCCACCAACAGGAGCCAACUUCUAGGGGCCAAGCUCCCUUUUGCCCCCCAUAAAAUAUUUGAGGGACCCACCCCCCAAAAGUUGAUGUGCAUUGCCCUUCAAAUGGUGUGCAUGCACCAUGUCAUGUGAUCAAUUAUGCAGGGUGGGGCUUACAUGCCCCCCCACUAUUUUAUUUAAGUUGGCACCCCUGCUUCCAUCUGUUGCUCCAUCAGUGGAGGAAAGUGCAUGGACAUCAGUCUGCACUACGCUUGUUCACAGAGAGUGGCUCCUCUCCUCCAUUCAGAACAGAUAGGAGGGUAGACAUCCAAUGGCUAAUCCAAUAUAUAUGGUGGAUAUUGAAGAAGCUGCAUUCGAUGCAGUAGAGGCUGAGUCGGUGCAAACAGGAACUCCACAGGAAGAGCAGAAAUCUCUAAUGCACUGUAGAUUUUUAAAGAGAUAUUUGCCAUCAGAGGCGAUGAGAAGCACACAGGCACCUCUGGGUGCUACGUUUGUGACCCUCGGCCCAAGAAAUACAGUAAAGAUGUGAGAUUCACACAAAGGACUUCCUGACUUAUAGCUCAGGUUCUUAGCCAGUCCACCACACUAUCUCUCAUUAUGCUUCACACCAUCUCACUGUAUUGCACCAACUCAUCCAGUCACGGGAUGCCUGCAGUUCCUUUUGCAUUUGCGUUGUGCCUUACUUUUUCUCAUUUCAUGGAAGAUACUUUUGCAUGGAAUAGCUGCUGUUUUUUAAGUUCGUUACCCCUACCCAUUAUAGGGCCUCCUUCUAUGAUUGGAGCUGCUGUUUUGAAACAGAUGUGCAAUAAAAUGAAUGUUAAGCCGAUAAUUAAUAGUUGGCUACAGGGGAGUGCUUAAAACCCCAAAUCAUAGACCAAGGCCUCAUUUGUGCAAAAUACUGCAUAAACAAUAAACAUAGAAAUGGGCCCUUGCCUCAGUGAGUUUAUUAUCGAGGUUUGUGUAUCCCAUCAGUUUUUCCCCGGCACAAGGAAGGUAGGGAGGUUAAAGGAGAAGACAGUAACACAAAGUUAGUUGGAAGAAGUACAGCAACUUUUCUCCCGGUGAUUAUAAUCCCUUCCUCCCACAAUUCUCUGCCUCAUGAACUUGCCAUUCCCCAUCACUUGUGUUCAUUGAAGUUCUCACAAUGGGGACAGCUUCUGUGGGGAGGACCAUAUAGCUUAGUGGAAGAUAAUCUGCCUCCUAGGUUGAAUCCCUAGUGUCCCCAGAUAGAAUUGGCAAAAGUUCUUGCCUAAAACCCCAGAAAGCUGCUGCCAGGAUAAUAUUGAGCUAAAAAAAUGAACCAAUGGUCAGACUCCGUAUAAGGCAAGUUCCUAUGUGGUCAUGUAUGUUGCAGAUAUUAACAUUGCAAAGCUUGAAGAAACUGGAAGCAUAAGAACUGACUCCUUUUGGACUAAAUCAUUGUCCAGACCCAUAAAAAUAUUAUUCAAAGUUUACUUGCAGAACUCUUCCAAACUAUAACAUAAUACAUGAAAUGAUGAUUGCAAAACAUCCGCACAAUGUCUUAUCCUGUCCAGCACAGGCUCAGCAUCUUGGAAAUAAAAGAUAACUCCAAAAAUCGAAACAGUGUCUCUCUCCUCCAUCCCAGCCUAAGGCUAUGCAGCUUCUUGGAGACCCAUUAUCAUAUCCUUUUGUUCUCUGUGGCAUUCAGAGAAAGACUGAACAGGCAACUCCCUUCAAAAUGGCAACCUGCAAUUCAAUACCUUUGUCACCUGAUCUAAGGUUACAACACUCACAUGUUAGCUGGCAGAAAACAACAAUUAGAUAAAGAUCAACUCAUUAAGAAGCUGAGAGUCUCUUAGAAAACUACUGUGGGGAAAAACCAGUGUUGAACCUUCAUUAAUACACCAACAUUUUCCAUUUCUGUGUCAAUUAAACCAAUUAUACUUAACAAUGGAAUAUGCAUAAACAUUCUGACUGAAGAAGUUGGAAUGGGCAGUUAUGGAUUGCUAAGCACAGAUGAAACUAGUUAAGUCUGGACAGAGAUGGGGCGGAGUUUCUCAAUAUUGAGCCAGGAAACAGUGCUGUUGCAGGGGGGGGGCAAAGUUUGGAAAGAUGGGAAAGCCCAAAUUCCUCAUAUUGGUUCAAGACAGCUAUCUGAAUGUUGAACAAGUACACAUAAUUAGCUAGGACAUCUUGCUGGUUUUGUAGCAUUGUGUUCUGCAGGCUCUGUCUCCUCUCCCUCCCUCCUAAAGGCUGUCUGAAUCUGUGCUUGCGAUUCCAGGCGAGGAAAGAAAUGUCCAUGUUCUGCUGACUGGAACACUUAUUCUUAAGUUUGCCAUGGGAAAAUACUGUCCUCUGUUAUCUUAAUAACCUGGGAGAUUGCAGUCUCUCUUUGCUUAGAGGGAGCUGACUCACGCUUAAUGGGCAGAAGGCUGCAUUAUGUUGAGGUUAAGGUAGGUGACAGUCUCUAUGCAGCACGGAGGGAACACAAGGCUGUUAAAUCUGCUGGGUUCUUUAGCUUAAAAGAGCAUUCGUGUACAGGACCUACCAGUGCUCUAAGUGGACCGGCAUUAGCUCUGCAAAAUCUAUAUUCACCUUUUUUUUUUACUUAAAGAGCCUUAGAUUGCUCACUCAUUUGACUGGUGCCGAGUGGAAAGAGGAAGGAAAGGAAGGCAAGGACAAAGCGGAAAGCUGAUUCUCUCAUAUGUUGCACUUGCCACAGGUAGUAUAUGAAUUGUUGGAUACACCGCCACAAUUUCAGUGCUCCUUUACGAAGUGUGCAAUUAUGAAAUUUGCUGCUGCAAGUCAUGGCGAUGAUCACCAAUGUAAAUGGCUUUGAAAAGGGAUCGGAACAAUUUUGUGAAAGAGUGGUCUACGAUUAGGGGACGAGCUGUCACUCCGUGGUAGAGCAUCUGCUUUGCAUUCAGAAGGUCCUAGAUUCAGGGAAACUCCUGUCUGAAACUCUGGAUUGCUGCCACCAAUCAGUGUAGACCAGGGUUCCCCAAUCUUGGGUCUCCAGCUGUUUUUGGACUACAACUCCCAUCAUCCCUAGCUAGCAGGACCAGUUGUCAGGGAUGAUGCGAAUUGCAGUUCAAAAACAGCUGGAGAAAAUACUGAGCUGCAUGGUUCAAUGGUCUGAUUCAGCUCAAGGCAGAUUCCUGUGCUCCACUCUGAAGCUAAGCUAGUUAAGUAGAACCUCAAUAUUUCAAGGCAGCGAUCCUCUAGUUUCUGGGGAACGAACAAGGAAAGAGCGCUGAUACCUUCAUGCAGUGAUGGCUUCAUCUUUUAAAGCACACUGGGGCAAGACACACACUACGGAGGCCCUCUCUGAGUGUCUCCACUUCCUCUUCACUUUGGGACUCACCCUGGGAAUCGCGCUGCUUCCCCCGCACUCCUCUUUCUUCGCCAGUGGAGACAGUAAUGAAAGCAAUGGAUGCUUUUCUCUUUUUUAAAAAAUGAUAUUUAUUGAGAUUUCAAAAACAAAAAAUUACAUAAAAGACAAUGAAAAAUAUAGAAAAAAAAGAGAGAAAACAUACAAAAUGCCAAGUAUAAAAAUAUAUAGAAAGAACACUUAGAAACAAAUUUAUCCUUUCGUAUCUUACAUUUCAUUUCCUUGCUUUCCUGACCUCCUCUCACCUCCCUUUUUUGUAUUCCGGUUCAACUGGUUAAUUCAGCAAUUCCUUUCCCUCUUUGUUUUUGUCUUAGUCCUUUAACUGAAUAUAUUAUAGCUUUAAAUUCUCACCUAUUAACCAGCCAUUUUUUCAUACACCUUUAUGACAUUGCUGCUAGAACCACUUAAUUUCAUUCUGACAUCAUUCUAACAUUCAUUAAUUUUACAAUUUUUCUGUAAAUAGUCUUUAAAUUUCUUCCAAUCUUCUUCCACCGACUCUUCACCCUGGUCUCGGAUUCUGCCAGUCAUUUCCGCCAAUUCCAUGUAGUCCAUCACCUUCAUCUGCCAAGCAAUGGAUGCUUUUCUCAAGUGAAUUAGUUGUCACAGCAAGAUGGAAGAGGAGCAGGGCCAGGAUGUCUCAGGGGUUGACACUGGACUCCUGCAAUGGUGUGAUUACUGGCCAGUUUCCAGGUGAUGCUGCCUAGCCCAAACAGUGAUGCAUAUGUAGACAGUAGUCCUGCCUUCCUACCUUUUUGUCUGUUGUUGGAAACAGGAAUCUGAGCAGCAUGGGUCUUUGGCCUGAUCCAGGGGGGCUCUUCCUAGGUUCUCAAUAUUGCCAUGCCUCCCACGUGAGUGACCUUGAAAGUCUAGAAUUAUUUUGGAAUCCCCAUUGUUUCAUUAGUGAUUCAUAAUUAAUGUUUAAUAUAGGAGGCAGCAAUUACUACUAGGCGGAAAAUCCAAUAAAAAUGCAUAAUUUCUUCAUAAGGAAAAGAGGCCAGAAUUAAGCAGAUUGCCCAUUUCUCCCUUGACUUUGUGGCAGUACUUUGAAAUCUAACCUGAGUUGGUCUUAAUAAAAAUCUUCCUAAAUGUUCCGAGGAAGCUCAAAGAGAUAAGUCGAUCGGUGCAAACUUUCCCAGUUUAAGGCAAAUCUUGAGAUCUGUGUGCACCCCUAAUUAAAGCUCAGUUGUGUCUACUUCUCUUUUAAUUAGGGGUGUGUGAGAGCCCCAAGAUUUGUCUCACAUCUGUAUUGUUGUUGUUUAGUCAUUUAGUCAUGUCCGACUCUUCGUGACCCCAUGGACCAGAGCACGCCAGGCACUCUUGUCUUCCACUGCCUCCCACAGUUUGGUCAAACUCAUGCUGAUAGCUUCGAGAACACUAUUCAACCAUCUUGUCCUCUGUCGUCCCCUUCUCCUUGUGCCCUCCAUCUUUCCCAACAUCAGGGUCUUUUCCAGGGAGUCUUCUCUUCUCAUGAGGUGGCCAAAGUAUUGGAGCCUCAGCUUCAGGAUCUGUCCUUCCAGUGAGCACUCAGGGCUGAUUUCCUUAAGAAUGGAGAGGUUUGAUCUUCUUGCAGUCCAUGGGACUCUCAAGAGUCUCCUCCAGCGCCAUAAUUCAAAGGCAUCAAUUCUUCGGCGAUCAGCCUUCUUUAUGGUCCAGCUCUCCCUUCCAUACAUCACUACUGAGAAAACCAUAGCUUUAAGUAUAUGGACCUUUGUUAGCAAGGUGAUGUCUCUGCUUUUUAAGACAUCUGUAUUACAGAUCACAUAUUUUACAAUUCUGAUCUGCUUGCUGUGUGCUCUCUGCUUCGCUCUGUGUCUUGGGUGCCGAGCUCUUCUGUGCAAAAUGAAGCUCUGUGUUUUCCUGCUCGCUGUAGCACCUAAAUCAUUCCUAGAAGCUGAAAAAGCUGCACCAGCCUUGCAAGUCUGCAUGGGAGCAUCAACCCUAGACAGGAGUUAACUGGAGGGAUGCUUCAAAAAGAAUCUGUUAAUGCUUGGACCUAUCAAAUCCAUCUUUUGUUGGGAGUUGAGAGAUUGAACAGCUGAUACAGCUCCCAGCAAAUGAGCCUUUCCCAAAUCUCAUCCAGCUUAAUAAACAGCUGAUUACCAAAAGCAUCAGAGCUUGUCUCUUUUCUGUGUCCUUACAGGCCUUACAGGUCUAGGACUUUUCACAUCUCUAAUAUGCCUUACAUGGCAAGGCUGCCUACAAUGCUGCCUAUGGGGUUCUUUAUUUUUUUAAUAUAAAAUAUGUAAGCUUUCCAGGAUUUCCUGGGGAACUUGGGACAACUAUUAAACUGGUCUAUUAAAUCUUCAGUGUAGGCCUGGAGACUGUCAGUCAGUUAAUUGGGCCAUGUCUCCAUGGAGACCUGUUAGUUACAGGUUGCCAUUCAUGUCUUGGAAGCAUCUGGUUUCCUUUUAUUUGCAUACCUUUAAAGUUACUUGGCACGAUUUCUGAGUAGUUUGGAUUGCGUCGUCUGCUCUUCCGGUGCAUGCAGAACUUUCAAUAUUUUAACAUUUUCACUCUGAACGAAUCCCUCGCCCAGCUAGGCAUUUGAUCAUUCCAAGGUGCUCCCUUGUUUAUUUUAAUUGAAUGCUUGGCUGGGGAAUUAUGCUCAGAUCAAAAACAGAAAAUCAUCGGUCCAGACGCUGCAAAUGCUAAACGUCCUUGUAUGCUUGGCUUAUUGAUUGCAGUGUUAACAGAUUUAAAGGAGUGAUAUCCCUGUGAAAGAAAGAGAAACAAAUGAAAGGAGGACAGUGGAGAAACAGUUAUGGUGCUCUGUUGCAUGAAGAGUAAUUAAGAACAUGUCUCAGAAAGGAAAGAAGGCUAGAUACAAAAGGACAGAAGAACCGCCAGAGUUGGUCCAAAAUCUAGGGCAAUGGCAUACAGCCACAGAAUUCUUGGACUAAAGUCCAGACUCUAUGAGGGAUGUGAUAUGUCAGUAUGGCUGGGAGAAGAGAACACAGUGUGCUGGCAAAGCAGAGCAGAUGGAACCUAUUAUUAUUAUUAUUAUUAUUAUUAUUAUUAUUAUUAUAUCUGCCCUUCACCCUAAGGUCCCAGUGCAGGUUACCACAAGUAAAGCACAAUGUUGGAAACAGUCUCUAAAACAACUUGCAAUCAUAGAAAUAAGAUGGGUUCUGUUGCCAGAUAUGGAGUGGGAGUUUCAUAACUUAGGGUCUGCCACAGAGAAUUCCUUCUCCUGGGUUACCCACCCCCAUCCUGCCAAGGUUCCGAGGGUGGUGGAACAACCAAUAAGGCCAAUGAUAAUAGCAGAGGGGACCUAUAGGGUGGCUUCCAUUGAGACCUGUUAGUUACAUGUUGGCAGUUAUAUUAUCAUUAUAUACUGAAUAAAUAUGAGCACACCCUGAGCCAUGAUGUUCAGACAUGCAGUAGGAUAUAGUGAUCAUCUUUAACAGAUUAACCAUUCACUUAUGCAGGGCUAGCUGGCAGGGGUGAAUAAGAAUCCCAGAUAGAUAGAUGUGUGUGUGUGUGUGUGUGUGUGAGAGAGAGAGAGAGAGAGAGAGAGAGAGAGAGACCCAAGUUAAAUGGGACAACAGCUGUCCAUUUUCUUAGCUAUCCCAUUGUCAUGGGUUGACCCAUUGGCAAUUGUCAAAAUGGAGCUGGGAACCACAAGUUGUGGCACUUUGGGUGGGGGUGUCGGAUCUGAGGGAUAAAGCCAGAAGCCAAGCCAAAGACCAGAACCAGGAAGACAAUUUUUGCUUAGGCAAAAUCCCAGACUGUACAGCAAGGGGCGUACAGCCUGUAGCUCAGAAACCUAUCUCACUCUGCUGUGGAUCAAGUCUGAUAGGUAGGCAGGCCUGUCAAUCACUUGCGACCACUAUGAUGUCCGAUGAAAAGCAGGGCAAAGAAGCAAGGACAGAGCUCUUCACCCAACACCUUCAUGCACCCAUUGCUCUAAUCCCCUGCCUCUACUUCUUUACAGAGUAGCAUGCAGGGAGUAUUAACCUUUUCCUUCCCUGCUGUGCCCAACUCCCCAUAAUCCUCCUUUCAGCAAUUAGACUUGUGGGGGACGGGACAAGUAAAGCACAAUGUUGGAAACAGUCUAAAACAACUUGCAACCAUAGAAAUAAGAUGGGUUCUUCAAAAAAUGGAAGGAUUAGUCAUCGCAGUGUAGGGAGAAGGGGAAAGAGGGAGGAGGCAGGGCUCCGUGGGAGACCUUGAAAUGGGCCGAAUGCUCCCCACUCCUGUUUUACAUGAGCCAGAAAGACAAGUAAGCAAUAAACAUUGCACUUACCCCCUCCUUUGUUUUCUCUCUCUUUUCACAUGUUAAUAAAUAAAGGUAUGCAUAAAGGUAACCAUUGCCCAUUAAGUUGAAAAAGAGAUUCUGGAAGCUUGUGUGAGGAACCAUCUGCCAGAUCAUCUAGCAAUUACCAUUAUUAUUACACUUGUAGCAGCACGUGCCACAAGUCUGCUGCACAACUUAAUAUAUCCUUGCUCCCCAAAGACACACGAUAGAGGAACACAAAGGAGCUCCUGACAGCACAAAGUUACAAGCAUGGCAACGAUAACCUCACGCCUCGGUGCCUCAACCUCCGUGGCUUUUGUUCUUCUCUGAGUAUGCAGCAUUCUUUUGAGAGCUUCAGUGGGAAGGGAUUAUGUUCUUUGUACAGCCAUCUUGUCAUUAAGACGUCCACACAUUACAGCAAAGUCAGGCAACAGAAAUGAUUCAUUAACUCUUUUGUUCUCUUCCUCUGGCCUGGUUCGUAGACUUUCCGGGUCGGGGCUGCAGGUUUGUGCCGGAGAAGCAUGCAUUUGUGCCCCUCUCAUUGCCGUUUUGCCCAUCAUGUGCUGCAGACGUGGGGAACCCAUGGCCCAAAGCAACUUGAUGAGUGGGGCAAAGUUGCUACACUGGCUUGCUGACAGGUGGGGCGCUGAUGUUUGCCAGAAAGAAAAAGGGUGAGUGAGGGAGAAAAUUCCCUUUGUGGGUUCAAUAUGGAGGCUCAAACCAGAUUUCCAAUCAGUUAGACUUUAUUCAGCAAUGCAUUACUGGAUAGAGUCCAAAAGAGUCUGUGAGAUAGCACAAUCCCUAUAUAGGCAAUAUAUUAGCUAUAUAUUAUAUAUUUUAGCUAUACAUACAUACACACACACACACACAUAUAUAUGUAUACACCCACACCCACACCCACACCCACACAAAUAUAUAUACAGUGAGGGGAAAAAGUAUUUGAUCCCCUGCUAAAUUCGCCCAUUUGCCCUCUGACGAAGAAAUGACCAGUCCAUAAUUUUAAUGGUAGGUUUAUUGUAGCUGUGAGAGACAGAAUAACAACAGUAAAACCUGUUAUUAGCUGUUUGUUCUCAACCUUCUGCCACUCCAGUCAUUGAAAACACUUAUUGAACCCAAGUUCUUUGUGUUAAGUGCAGGGCCCUCCUUGCAACUUAUCUGGAAUUGUUUUUCACUCUGACAAUCAGCAUUAAGGCUCCUACUUCUUCUUCUUUGGUGAUUCCCCGUAGCCAAGUAAGAUUGUCUUCCAUGAACACGGUCUUAAUGGUGAGUCCGUAAGUGACUGUGGAGGCCAAUUCUGGAUCCACACGCCCUUCCACAGUGGAGACAUAGGUUUCCAGGUGGGAGUUGAUCAUGGUGAGGGUUCUUUCGUCCUGAGUUCAAGAGUCUUCAAAGCCCAUAACACCUUUGGUAAAGGCUGUUCUCCAAUUGGAGCUCUCUCAAGCCAAUGUUUCCCAGUUGUUUGUGUUUAUACUACAAUUUUUAAGAUUUGCCUUGAGGGAGUCUUUAAGCCUCUUUUGUUGACCACUAGCAUUACGCUUUCCAUUUUUAAGUUCAGAAUAGAGUCUUUGCUUUGGAAGAUGAUAAUCAAGUAUCCGCACAACAUGACCGGUCGGAUACCUGAAGCUGGACUCAGAAAUAAAGGGUUUUGCAGCUUUUCCACUUCAAGAGGUGAUAGAGAGGUUGGCUUGAUGCAAACAAAUCAGCAGAGAAAUUCCGGUGCUCUUGUGUUUGCAUUGUGCUCAGCUCCCUGCAGUAUCACCCAUCCUGGAACUAAACAGCGACCCACCUGCUGGGAUCACAGUAUAGCAGCCCCAUGCACCCUGUCAGCCACAUCUGUGUGUGGUCCUCUAGAUUGUUCUUGUCCCCUAAAUAUCAUGUACAUCACAUCUGCCUGAUUAUUGCAGAUACAACUGUAGGGGAACAUCUAUGAAGCCUAUUUGUCAGUGACUAGGAAGCUGAAAGAGAAGAAGUGAUUGGUUCACUGGAUGAAGACAAAAAUGAAGCAAGUCGCCUACAAAGAAGAUCCUAUCCUACAUCAUUACACGGUGAGCUGCCAUCACUGGUGGAACAAUGAAAGCCAUCCCCAAGCUCAUCAUAGACCCUGGUAUGGAGUGGGGAGAGGAGUUCCAACAAGCACUUGGGUGGGUUCAAAGUCAUUCAAGGUUUUAUACCUAACAUCAAUAUGUUUUAAUUGAGCCCUGUAAUACAGAGGCAGCCAGCACAAAAUCUCAGUGUAGGUCUUAAAUGACACGUGCCUCAAGCAGCCCUUUGGCUGCUGCAUCCUACAGUACAAUUGCUACUGUAGCAGGGCAUCAAGAACAACCCUAUGCAGAGCACAUUACUACCCAUCAAUAAUGCCUCCAACCUCUUUGGAUUCAGUUUAUUGGCCCACAUCCAACCCAUCACAGCCUCCAGACACAAGUUCAGUGCUGAAAUGGCUACUUGUGAUUCAGAUGGUAUGGAGGGCGUAGUCCUGUGUGUCAUCCACAUAUUGAAGAUACUGAUACCUCUCACAAUGAGCUGGAGACCUCGCAAGAGGAUACUAGGUGGAGUUCUGGUUGCAUCCUGUUACCCAGCCCUAUACCCAGGGGAGAUAUGAUAACCAUCUUCAAAUAUCUCAAGGGCUGCCACAUGGAAGAUGGAGCAAUCUUGUUUUUUUCCUGCUUUUGUGGGUAGGACUCAAACCGAUGGCUUCAAGUGACAAGAAAGGAGAUUCUGACUAAACAUCAGGAUGAACAUUCUGACAGUAAGAGCUCUUUGACAGUGGAACGGUCUCCCUCAGAAAGAUGUGGACUCUCUUUUCUUGGAGGUUUUUAAGCCGAGGUUGAAUGGCCCUGAGGGACUCUGAGUUCAACCCCCUGUAAUUCAGGAAUCUCAACCAAGGCAUCUAUGGCCAUGCAACUUCUUCUUAAAAACCUCCACUGAAGGAGCUUUUACAUGUAUAGGAUGUCAGGCUUAAUAGCUUAUCACAGUACAGUGGUACCUCAGGUUAAGUACUUAAUUCGUUCCGGAGGUCCGUUCUUAACCUGAAACUAUUCUUCACCUGAAGCACCACUUUAGCUGUAGCCUUAUUGGAGUUCACUGAUUGGGUCUGCGUUGCUCCGGGACGGGAGGAAGGAAGUCAAAUGACACCGAGGUUGAUUCAAAGAAAGAGUUUAUUCUGCUCUCCGGAUAGCAGAAGGCACUUGCGUGAUCAAGUCCACAGCAAGUCCAAAGAAAUGACAAGUUUCAUGCAGUAUAUAUAUCCUCCAGGCACCCUCUCCCUCCUUCCCAUAUAAAUCCAACCACGUCAGCCUAUGUAUGCAGGUUGACAUCACAUAUGUUCUUGCUGUGGUGUUCUUAACCAUAAAAGGGAAUUCCUUCCUGUACUUCUGACCAUAAAAGGAUCUUCCUCUUCCUACUCUUAUCUUGGAGGAAGAGGUCAUCAUCUCCGAGAACACGCUUUUGGCAUUGUUCCCGGACUGGGUCUGUGGUCUUUGUGUUUGUGGUCAGGACAUAAGAUAAGGUACAGACGCAUCAUCCCUGCUCUAGUGGAACUUGGCAAGGUCACUCAUUGCCAUCACUGACUGAUAAGGGAGAGAGCUUUGAGCACAGCCGGGGUUUUGUUUAUACAUUGACUCAGAGCUCAAGUUAAUGGAUUUUAGCUAAGGAAAAAGAGGGAUUUUGGUGCAGUUUCAAACUGCCUGCACAGUCAGUUUUGGGUUUUGGGAAACCCAUUCCUUCAUAGCUAAUGGGGCCUCCUGCUGCCGCUGUGCCGCCACCACACGAUUUCUGUUCUCCUCUUGAAGCAGAGUUCUUAACCUGAAGCACUAUUUCUGGGUUAGCGGAGUCUGUAACCUGAAGCAUAUGCAACCUGAAGCGUAUGUAACCUGAGGUACCACAGUAGAACAAAUACUAGAUGGAGCUUCAUAGAUGGUUGUUACUUUAUAGAUAAUGCAUCACCAUCAUUAUCAUCAUUUAAUAUUUAGAACCUGUGAGAUUGCCAGAAAUUUUAAUGCUCACAAGAAAUAAUAGCAUAAGACUUGAACCAAAGCAGAAUGCCCAUCUCCACUACCUUUUUUAUUGAAUGAUGCCCUAUGAGGAAGGAAUUACCUACAGAGUGGGAAGAUAGGGAGAUGUUAGAGGAACCUUUUUGGAAAGCAAGCGCUUAAGAUGAAAGUAAAUGCGCUUUGUGUCUUCAGAGGUGACAAACAGCUUAAAAAAAUGCAAGGACUCUGAACUCCGGCCUCUGAUCAUUUGUGAAUGUCAGAAGCAUAUUCCUGUACACUCAGUUUACUUCAGCUCAGAAAGCUAUACCAGCUGCACCAAUUAAGAUGUACCAAUUAAGAGCAUCCCUUGAUCCCUAGGUUAAGUCUGCACUUUGAAUGCUAACAUGGAUUGUUUUCCUGUUGCUUGUCCUGAGAGGUGUAGUAGCAGAAGCAAUAUCUCUUCUUAUGUUCUUGUGAUUGGAAAUGGGAAAUUUGUGGAGAAUAGCAUGUUGUAGCUCAAGAUACCCAAUGAGGUGCUCUCAAGGUGUUGUCAGACUACAACUCCCAUCACCCCUGGUCAUGCAUGUGGGGCAGAUGAGAGAAAACAUCUAGAGGGAACCACACUAGAGUGAAUAGGUUAUCCCUGUUCUAGCCUAUUGGUGCCAACAUACUUUAUUAUCUGGUGUGACAGUUCUCUUUGCUGCUUCCUUAUUUGACCAGAGCUCUCUCUUGUUCUCUAACAUUCUCGUUGGCUACAACCCACAGCAAAACUGUUCCUCCACAGUGCCACUUCUUGAAGGACUGUAUGCCUGAGCAUUCCUCUAUGGACACUUGAACACACACACACACACACACACACACACCACAAAGUUACGCCUAGAAAUCUAGUUGGAAGAAGGUGGAAGGCAGAAGAAAUUAGCAGGAUGGGAAUGAGGUCAGGAGAUGACAAGUGCUCAUGAUAUUUGGCUCAGACUUCAGUUUUGUGUGCAUUUGAUUGAAUUGUUCCUCAGACAAAUAAAUGUUCCAUUGCUAACCUUGGCUAAUUGUCAGUGAAUCCCACGCAAAAGACGUCUGAACACUUUUCUGUUUGUCUACACCUACUCAGUGCUGUUAGCAUCGUUCGGCUGUGACACUCAUACAUCAGGGAGGAGGCUAGACUAGAAAACAUCGUCCUGGCACCUCUCUCUUUCUCCUUCUCUAUCUCCCUGUAUAUAUACUUGCAAGAGUCAAAGUUGUCGCUGUAGAAAACUGAAGAGCUCUGGAUUGUUUUCAUUACAGCACAGCAGUGGAGGAGUUUCUUUGAAAAAAAAGUUAAGAGCUUAAAUUAAGUUUUAAAAAAACCCCGAUGAAACAAUCUGAUUUUGCUCUGAUUUAAUAACAAAAAAACAGCCCAAUCCAGGGCUGUCACAUGGAUGAUGGAGCAAGCUUGUUUUCUGCUUCUUCAGAGGGUAGGACCUGAAGCAGUGGAUUCAAAUUACAAGAAAGGAGAUUCUGACUAAACAUUAGGAAGAACUUCCUAGCAGUAAGAGCUGUUUGACAUUGGAAAGGUCUAGCUUGGAAAGUGGUGGACUCUGCAUUAUGGGAGCUUUUAAAACAGAGGUCAGGUGGCUAUCUGUCAGGGAUUCUUUAGCUGUGAUUCCUGCAUUGCAGGAGGUUGGACUAGAUAACCCUUGGGGUACCUUCCAACUAUGAUUCUAUGAUUCUUUAGAACUCCACAGGGAGCAUUUCAGGAUGUUGUGAGGCCUGGCAGAGACCUGUAAAGACAUACUGGAAUGCCUGCAAGACUAUGGAACACACAAACACUCCCACUGUGAAGCUGCAACAUUUUCUUUUUUAAAUGUACAAAUGAGAAUUCACACCACUUGGCCACCUCUUAAUUAUUUUAAGGUAAGAAAGAGAUGAAACUCACAUUCCCUUUCCAUAAAGGAUUAUGGAGGAACAUGAAAUCCCUUUACUUCCCCCACCAAAAGCCUUCUCUUAUAAAAAUUAAAAAAUGGCAUGCUUAAUCCACUCUGGAAGGGCUUCUGUGCUGAUAAAUUUCAUGCACUUUGGCCAAAAUGGGGGGGGGGGGAGUUACAGAUUUUUUUUUUUAAUUACCCAUUAUAGUGAAUGAGGGAAGGCAGAUCUUCAUUUUAUAGAGUGGCUUGGAACCUGAAAUGCAUAUCCAAGUGGAGAGGAGACAGUAACUCAGAGACGUAUAACAUCCCGCCCCCCAAUGAAAAUAUACAGAUACAGUGGUACCUUGGUUUUUGAAUGCCUCCUUUCUGAACAUUUCAGAAUUCAAAUGCUGUAAACCUGGAACAUGCCUCAGAAGUCAAACAGGAAAUGCGACUGCCACUGAGUGCAAAACCCUAAAGCCUAGCUGUCGGCUAUUGAGUUUCAGUUUUCGAACGUUUCAGAACUUGAACAGUCUUCCGGAAUGGAUUACGUUUGAAAACUGAGGUACCACCGUAUAAGGUGACUUUAUGGAUAGAAGCAAGCCUGGAAAUCCCUUCCUUGUACUGAUGCCCUGCUAUGAAGCUUGGCAUGCCAAUAUAGACUGAUGCCAUCAGUCCUUAUCAAUGCUUGGCAUUUAUGUUGGCCAGGCCACCCCAUGAAAGAUGGGAGGGCAUUAGGGUGGUCAUUUACACUUUGCCAAAUCAGUGAGAGGGGAUGGCAUCACCAAAGGAAGAGGGUACAGAUUUCCAAAUCAUUGUGCAUGUUGAUUUAGAUGAUAGAUAGAUAGAUAGAUAGAUAGAUAGAUAGAUAGAUAGAUAUACAAAAAUAAUUGUUGUGGAGCACAGUGACCUGUGUGGCUGCUCAGUCUGCUGUCCAGGAGUUGAGUGCUGAUGAGCAACUUCCAAGGCCCCCCAACCUCUCCUUUCCUGUGGUUCUUAAUAUUUAAUCUUGGUUUUGAUUGGACAGCCCUCCAAACAGAGGACUGUGCCCUUCAAAUGAAGCACAGUCCUCUGUAAAGCAGGACACAUGGACACAUUGGAGUGCAUCCUUUUCUUCACAAAAUGGCUGGAUUCUAGAUUAUGCUCAAUAGUAAAGGGUGGUGGUGGUGGUAGUCCAGAAAUAAUCUAGAAUUACAAUGAAUUUUUCUAAAUUACAGGGGGUGGCAAUUAGCAGGGGUUGGGUGUGUUUCUGGAUCAAAAGCAAGCUUUACUAUUGAUUUUUUGAGGGUGAACACCUUUAGCUCUUGUGCUCCCUAAGCCUUUGCUUUCAUUAUUCUGCUCCAUGCACAGACCCUUGUGUAGGCUCUCUUCACCUGGAUAGAUUUCAGUUGCCACUGUUUGACUAAUCUGCACAGAACUGCACACUCUGGCAGCAUACCUCAGCUGCAAAAAACCCCCUAAAACCCUAUAUUUUUAAAAAAGAUGGCGAGGACCCAUAGUUCAUUGCCAAGACAUUUGCUUCCCAAGCACUACAUUUGAGGUUUGAUCCCUAGCACCUUCUCUUAAAAGAGGCAGCGGGUGAUGGAAGAGACCCCAGAGAAGCACUAUCCACAAGUGUAGAUGGCAUUGGUCAAGAUGGAUCAAUACACCAGCUUAGGAUGUUCAAACAGUUAACGAAGGGAGGGGGAGUUAACUGUGUUAUACAGUCCUUUAAACAAAAAAGAUUUUAUGAAAACUAUAAGAGGGGAAAGAGGAGGGAGAAAAUAUUCAUGCUUGAUUGAUCGACUUUGUGUCUACAGCACAAUAACCUCCUACAAGGAUCAGCUAAACCGAUAUUCUCUUCUUAUCCCACAGCUAUUGAAAAGGACUUGAAAGAAAACACCCACCCAGCCCCUCCUUCCCCCUACCUGAUUUGAUUAAUGAAGUCAUUAAAAGAGAUGCACAAAGACUGCCGAACGAGCCCUGCAUUUCUAUGUCGGGACAGAGCAGCUUGAGCGUAUAUAAAAGCUGUUAUAGAAGUGAGUGCACUUAUUAAAUCUUCCAACAGAUUUUCCUCUAGUCAUUAUCAUGGAAGAGACUCCAAACCGCAUGCCAAGAAUCAUAGAUGAUCUACGAUUAUGUAGACAAAUCUCUCUCUCUCUCUCUCUCUCUCUCUCUCUCUCUCUCUAUCACAGGAACACGGAAGCAAGGAAACACUUCCUCGACCAACCGUGUGACAUUUUUUGAAGUGGAGCUCAGGUUGCCCCCUAAACACCAUCCACAUCACAUCUGCCUGAUCAUUGCAGAUACAACUGUAGGGGAACAUCUAUGAAGCCUAUUUGUCAAUGACUAGGAAGCUGAAAGAGAAGGAGAAAUGAUUGGCUCACUGGAUGAAGACAAAGUUGAAUCAAGUGGUCUACAAAGAAGGUCUUAUCUUGCAUCAUUACACAGUGAGCUACCGUCACUGGUGGGACAAUGAAAAGCCACCACCAAGCUCAUCACAGGACCAGGUAUUGGGGGGGGGGGGGGUCCAACAAGUACUUGGAUGGGUCCAAAGUCGUUCAGUGCUUUAUACCUAACAUUAAUAUUUUUUAAUUGAGCCCUGUGAUACAGAGGCAGCCAAUACAAAAUCUCAGUGUAGGUCUUAAAUGACAGGUGCUUCCAGCAGCCCUUUGGUUGCUGCAUUCUACACUACAAUUGCUACUGUAGCAGGGCCAUCAAGGACACCCCUAUGCGGAGCACAUUACCACCCAUCAAUAGUGCCUCCAACUUGUUUGGAUUCAGUUUAUUGGCCCUUAUCCAACCCAUUAUAGCCUCCAGACACAAGUUCAGCACUGGCUACUUGUGGUUCAGACGGUAUGGAGGGUGUAGACCUGUGAAUCAUCCACAUAUCAAAGAUACUGAUACCUCUCACAAUGAGCUGGAGACCUCGCAAGAGGAUGCUAUGUGGAGCUCUGGUUGCAUCCUGUUACCCAGCCCUUUGCCCAGGGGAGAUAUGAUAGUCAUCUUCAAAUAUCUCAAAGGCUGUCACAUGGAAGAGGGAACAAGCUUGUUUUCUCCUGCUCUGGAGGGUAGGACUCAAACCGAUGACUUCAAGUGACAAGAAAGGAGACUCUGACUAAACAUCAGGAUGAACAUUCCGACAGUAAGAGCUCUUUGACAAUGGUGUGGCGGUCUCCUUCUAUGGAGGUUUUUAAGCAAAGGUUGGAUGGCCAUGUGUCAUGGGUGUUUUAGCUGAGAUUUCUGCAUUGAAAGGGGUUGGACUUGAUGACCCUUGGGAUCCCAACUCUACAAUUCUGUGAUUAUAUGAUAUGAAGAGGCAAAGAUCCCCCAGCGUAGAGCCUCUUCCUCUGGGGAAAGGCCAUAGCUCAGCAGAAGAGCACCUUCAUUGCAGGCAGAAGGUCCCAUGCUCAAUCCCCAGCCUCAAAUAUGGGAAAACCACGUCCUGUUGGUGCAGGUAGUACUGAGCUGAGAGUGACCAGUGGUCUGUCUUGAUAGAAAGCAGCUUCCUAUUUUCCUGUUUUUCCUUGCCUUGACAGCCAUAUAAAUUAUGGUGAAUGCAGACAAAAGAACAGAACAAGCCAAUGCUCUUGACUGAUGCUUUCUUACAUAAAAAGCUGCUGUAGACCAAUUGUCUGUGUCCACUGCUAGCCAGUUCUACACCAAGCCCUGAAGGAAUCCUUUAACUGAAAUCACUCUCUGCUUUUUCUUAAUUAGUUUCAUUUCAGCCUUCAUCCCUAGGCUCCUUGUUUGCAGAGAUUUCUUCAGAUAGUCUCCUGCAAGAUUCAUGUCUUGAGACUUCAGAGCAGCUUGCUGUGAAUCUGGAUGAGCAUGUUUUGUAGCUGCCAGGCAGCAUAAUAAACUCUUCACUUGUAUUGCUAUUUAAUUUAUAUACCGCUUAUACACCAAGCUGGCUUCCAAGCAGCUUAAAGGUAUUAAAAAAUCAAUUAUAAAAUGCGGACAUAAUUUAAAUACACAAUUAACAAUCUGAUUAGGACAUCAAAACAUUCUUAAGUAAAAUAUUCAAUACAAAGCCAGCUAAAAAGCAUGACAAUUAAAAUUGUUAAAAACAAACAGAACAACAAAAUCAGAAGUUCAAAUACAGGGGAAUGCUUACCUAAACAUGUGCAUGUUCAGGAGUCAGCGGUAUCCCAAUACUGAUGUAAACUCUCAUAUUUCAGAAGAGAGGGUGUUCCACAGAGCUGGUGAAAAAGCUCGUCUCUGCAUUGAGCACCUAUCCUCUCAAGUGCUGUACCCCAAAGGGGGUAUUAGAGACUAAUGUUUGCAGAUUUGCAGAUUUGCAAAGACAAUCACUGAUGUCAUGAUCCUAGAGUACAGCAAUGCCCAUAACUGGACAGUGAAAUGCCACCAGCUGAGAAGCCAAACUGGGUUCCUGGCUCUGAUCCUGAUGAGGAUGAUCACAGAACUAGUGAAGAUGAGACUGGCAGGCAGGAUUCCACUGAACCAGAUCUCACAACACCAGGGCAUUGGAACUGGAGCCAAGAUGCUUCUGGGUGCCUUCCUCUGGGCCUUAGGAACUGAAUGCCUCCCUCAGUUCCUUGCCAGUUCAACAGGGGAAAGAGUGUACUGGGUAGGAAGCCAUGGAGGGCAGUAGAAGUGCUGUCUUCAGGCCAGAGGGUUGGCUUUUUAAGAUGUUUUAGUUCUCCAGUAGGAUGUGGGGCAUAGGAGACAUAGACUGAAUGCAGAGGCUUUAAAAGGCUUUAAAAGGCUUCAGAAGGAUAGAACUUUUUUUAUGUAUGCCACAACAACAGCAAGAAUACUCAUUGCAAAGUAUUGGAAGACACAAGAUCUACCCACUCUGGAAGAAUGGCAGAUGAAGGUGAUUGACUAUAUGGAACUGGCGGAAAUGACUGGCAGAAUCCGGGACUAGGGAGAAGAGUCGGUGGAAGAAGAUUGGAAGAAAUUUAAAGACUAUUUACAGAAAUAUUGUAAAAUUAAUGAAUGUUAGAAUGAUGUUGGAUAGAAAUUAAGUGGUUUUUAGCUGCAAUACUAUAAGGGAAUAUGAAAAAUGGAUUACUAACAGGUAAAAAUUUAAUGUUACAAUAUUUUAAGAUUAAUGAUUAGGAUAGACAAAGAGGGGAAGGAUUUGCUGAACCAACAAACCGAACUGGAAUACAAAAAAGGGAGGCGUGAGGAGGUCCGGGAAACAAGCUAAUGAAAAAUAAGUAAUGGAAAGAUUGAGUUGUUUUUAACUAAUUUUAUUUUUUGUGUUUUUCUUUCUUCUAUUUUUAUUUUGUAAUAUUUUGAAAAUCUUAAUAAAUAUCUUA
Molecule: non-coding RNA, 40194 nt
Organism: Podarcis lilfordi (Lilford's wall lizard)
Lineage: Eukaryota; Metazoa; Chordata; Lepidosauria; Squamata; Lacertidae
Source: the annotation of a GenBank genome assembly